GCCCUCAUCGUCUAGAGGCCUAGGACACCGCCCUUUCAAGGCGGCGGCACGGGUUCGAAUCCCGUUGGGGGCA
This 73-nucleotide transfer RNA is filed under the name Streptosporangiales bacterium. It matches the Rfam family "tRNA". Rfam says of the family: Transfer RNA (tRNA) molecules are approximately 80 nucleotides in length. The record is from Rfam by way of RNAcentral. Lineage: Bacteria; Bacillati; Actinomycetota; Actinomycetes; Streptosporangiales.